CAAGGCUCGACAUCCUACGAAUUUUGAGGAAACUCAGGAGUGCCCUUCGGGGAGCGUAGAGACAGGUGGUGCAUGGUUGUCGUCAGCUCGUGUCGUGAGAUGUUGGGUUAAGUCCCGCAACGAGCGCAACCCCUGUGUUUAGUUGCUAACGAGUCAUGUCGAGCACUCUAGACAGACUGCCGGUGAUAAACCGGAGGAAGGUGGGGAUGACGUCAAAUCAUCAUGCCCCUUAUGUCUUGGGCUACACACGUGCUACAAUGGCCAGUACAGACGGAAGCGAAGCCGCGAGGUGGAGCAAAUCCGAGAAAGCUGGUCUCAGUUCGGAUUGCAGGCUGCAACUCGCCUGCAUGAAGUCGGAAUCGCUAGUAAUCGCAGGUCAGCAUACUGCGGUGAAUACGUUCC
This 402-nucleotide ribosomal RNA is filed under the name uncultured bacterium. RNAcentral's name for it is "bacterial SSU rRNA". It matches the Rfam family "Bacterial small subunit ribosomal RNA", at positions 975 to 1374 of the family's 1533-position model. The record is from RNAcentral.